RNAcentral lists this ribosomal RNA (833 nucleotides) under uncultured bacterium. Its description in RNAcentral is "bacterial SSU rRNA". It matches the Rfam family "Bacterial small subunit ribosomal RNA", at positions 29 to 865 of the family's 1533-position model. The record is from RNAcentral.
AUGAACGCUAGCGGGAGGCCUAACACAUGCAAGUCGAACGGGAUUGGGAGCUUGCUCCCAUGAGAGUGGCGCACGGGUGAGUAACGCGUAUGCAACCUACCUUUAACUGAGGGAUAGCCCAUAGAAAUGUGGAUUAAUACCUCAUAGUUCUUUUGAUUCGCAUGGAUUAAAAGAUAAAGCUCCGGCGGUUAAAGAUGGGCAUGCGUGACAUUAGUUUGUUGGUGAGGUAACGGCUCACCAAGACUACGAUGUCUAGGGGUUCUGAGAGGAUGAUCCCCCACACUGGUACUGAGACACGGACCAGACUCCUACGGGAGGCAGCAGUGAGGAAUAUUGGUCAAUGGGCGCAAGCCUGAACCAGCCAUCCCGCGUGAAGGAUGAAGGCCCUAUGGGUCGUAAACUUCUUUUAUACACCAAGAAAAAGCAGGACGUGUCCUGCCCCGACGGUAGUGUAUGAAUAAGCAUCGGCUAACUCCGUGCCAGCAGCCGCGGUAAUACGGAGGAUGCAAGCGUUAUCCGGAUUCAUUGGGUUUAAAGGGUGCGUAGGCGGCUUUUUAAGUCAGUGGUGAAAUCCUGUCGCUUAACGAUAGAAUUGCCAUUGAUACUGAAGAGCUUGAGUACAAUUGAGGUAAGCGGAAUGUGUAGUGUAGCGGUGAAAUGCUUAGAUAUUACACAGAACACCGAUUGCGAAGGCAGCUUACUAAACUGUUACUGACGCUGAUGCACGAAAGCGUGGGGAGCGAACAGGAUUAGAUACCCUGGUAGUCCACGCCGUAAACGAUGAUCACUCGCUGUAUGCGAUACACAGUAUGCGGCCAAGCGAAAGCAUAAGU